GAUGAACGCUAGCUCCAGGCUUAACACAUGCAAGUCGCGGGGCAGCAUGGGGGUUGCUUGCAAUCCCCGAUGGCGACCGGCGCACGGGUGAGUAACGCGUAUUCAACCUGCCCUUCACCACGGGAUAACCCGGCGAAAGUCGGACUAAUACCGUAUGUUGUCCAUUGACGGCAUCCGAUUUGGACGAAAGGCUUGGCGGUGAGGGAUGGGGAUGCGUCCGAUUAGCCAGACGGCGGGGUAACGGCCCACCGUGGCUACGAUCGGUAGGGGUUCUGAGAGGAAGGUCCCCCACACUGGAACUGAGACACGGUCCAGACUCCUACGGGAGGCAGCAGUGAGGAAUAUUGGUCAAUGGGCGUAAGCCUGAACCAGCCAAGUAGCGUGCAGGAUGACGGCCCUAUGGGUUGUAAACUGCUUUUAUGCGGGGAUAAAGUGGCCCACGUGUGGGCUUUUGCAGGUACCGCAUGAAUAAGGACCGGCUAAUUCCGUG
RNAcentral lists this ribosomal RNA (490 nucleotides) under uncultured bacterium. RNAcentral's name for it is "partial 16S ribosomal RNA". It matches the Rfam family "Bacterial small subunit ribosomal RNA", at positions 28 to 507 of the family's 1533-position model. The record is from RNAcentral.